UUAUACGGUGAAGCUGCGAAUGGCUCAUUAAAUCAGUCAUAGUUUAUUUGAUGGUACCCUACUACAUGGAUAACUGUGGUAAUUCUAGAGCUAAUACAUGCUGAAAAAUCCCGACUUCUGGAAGGGAUGUAUUUAUUAGAUCCAAAACCAAUGGCCUUCGGGUCUCCUUGGUGAAUCAUGAUAACUGCUCGAAUCGCAUGGCCUUGCGCCGGCGAUGCUUCAUUCAAAUAUCUGCCCUAUCAACUUUCGAUGGUAGGAUAGAGGCCUAC
RNAcentral lists this ribosomal RNA (269 nucleotides) under Prasinoderma coloniale. RNAcentral describes it as "partial Eukaryotic small subunit ribosomal RNA". It matches the Rfam family "Eukaryotic small subunit ribosomal RNA", at positions 74 to 344 of the family's 1831-position model. Lineage: Eukaryota; Viridiplantae; Prasinodermophyta; Prasinodermophyceae; Prasinodermales; Prasinodermaceae. The record is from RNAcentral.